This 488-nucleotide ribosomal RNA is filed under the name Ixodes muris (mouse tick). RNAcentral's name for it is "partial 16S ribosomal RNA". Lineage: Eukaryota; Metazoa; Arthropoda; Arachnida; Ixodida; Ixodidae. The record is from RNAcentral.
CAUGUAGGAAUUUAAAAGUUGAACAAACUUCUUUUUUCAACUUCUUCACCGAAAAAGAAUCCUAAUCCAACAUCGAGGUCGCAAACUAUUUCAUCUAUAUGAACUAUCCAAAAUUAUUACGCUGUUAUCCCUAGAGUAUUUUUUUCAUUUAAUCGUUAAAAACGGAACCAAUUUUUAAUACAUAAAAAGAUAUUUAUUCUUUUUUCAUCACCCCAAUUAAAUUUUUUAAUAAAUUUAAUAAAAUUUAUUAAAAAAAUAAAAAAAUUCAUAGGGUCUUCUUGUCCCUAAUUUUUAUUUUUGCUUUUGCACUAAAAAAAUUAAAUUUAAUUAUUUAAUUAAAGAAAGUCUAUAAUUGUUUAAUCAUUCUCUUAGCACCCAUUUAAAAUCUUAUUUCAAUACCUUCGUAUAGUCAAAAUACCACAGCAAUUUAAAAAUAAUCAUUGAGCAGAUUUUACAUUUUAUUAUUUUUCAAAAUGAAAUGUUUUUGU